This 855-nucleotide ribosomal RNA is filed under the name uncultured bacterium. RNAcentral describes it as "bacterial SSU rRNA". It matches the Rfam family "Bacterial small subunit ribosomal RNA", at positions 8 to 857 of the family's 1533-position model. The record is from RNAcentral.
AGAGUUUGAUCCUGGCUCAGGAUGAACGCUAGCGGCAGGCUUAACACAUGCAAGUCGAGGGGCAGCGAGAUUGUUAGCAAUAACGAUUGUCGGCGACCGGCGCAAGGGUGCGUAACGCGUGAGCAACUUGCCCGUUUCAGGGGGAUAACCGGUGGAAACGCCGACUAAUACCCCAUAGCAUCACAUUUAGGCAUCUCAAUGUGAUUAAAGAGUUUCGGAAACGGAUAGGCUCGCGUGACAUUAGCUAGACGGCGGGGUAACGGCCCACCGUGGCUACGAUGUCUAGGGGUUCUGAGAGGAAGGUCCCCCACACUGGAACUGAGACACGGUCCAGACUCCUACAGGAGGCAGCAGUGAGGAAUAUUGGUCAAUGGUCGAAGGACUGAACCAGCCAUGCCGCGUGAAGGUGACGGCCCUAUGGGUCUUAAACUUCUUUUGCGAGGGAGCAAUAAGGGUCACGUGUGGCCUGAUGAGAGUACCUCGCGAAUAAGCAUCGGCUAACUCCGUGCCAGCAGCCGCGGUAAUACGGGGGAUGCAAGCGUUAUCCGGAUUUAUUGGGUUUAAAGGGUGCGUAGGCGGUCUGGUAAGUCAGCGGUGAAAUUUAGGGGCUCAACCUCUACCGUGCCGUUGAUACUGUCAGGCUAGAAUGCGGAUGCCGUGGGAGGAAUGUGUGGUGUAGCGGUGAAAUGCAUAGAUAUCACACAGAACACCGAUUGCGAAGGCAUCUCACGAAUCCGCGAUUGACGCUGAUGCACGAAAGCGUGGGGAUCAAACAGGAUUAGAUACCCUGGUAGUCCACGCUGUAAACGAUGAUGACUAACCGUCGGCGAUACACAGUCGGUGGCCAAGCGAAAG